Molecule: ribosomal RNA, 236 nt
Filed under: uncultured bacterium
Lineage: Bacteria
Description: partial 16S ribosomal RNA
Rfam family: Bacterial small subunit ribosomal RNA
Source: RNAcentral
GAUCCUGGCUCAGGAUGAACGCUAGCUACAGGCUUAACACAUGCAAGUCGAGGGGCAGCAUGUUGGUUGCUUGCAACCAAUGAUGGCUACCGGCGCACGGGUGAGUAACGCGUAUCCAACCUACCCUUGUCCAUCGGAUAACCCGUCGAAAGGCGGCCUAACACGAUAUGCGGUUCACAGCAGGCAUCUAACGUGAACGAAAUGUGAAGGGGAAGGAUGGGGAUGCGUCUGAUUAG